Molecule: ribosomal RNA, 640 nt
Filed under: uncultured bacterium
Lineage: Bacteria
Description: bacterial SSU rRNA
Rfam family: Bacterial small subunit ribosomal RNA
Source: RNAcentral
CGCGGCCUAUCAGCUUGUUGGUGAGGUAAUGGCUCACCAAGGCAUCGACGGGUAGCUGGUCUGAGAGGACGACCCGCCACAUUGGGACUGAGAUACGGCCCAGACUCCUACGGGAGGCAGCAGUGGGGAAUAUUGCGCAAUGGGCGAAAGGUUGACGCAGCAACGCCGCGUGGGGGAUGACACCCUUCGGGUUGUAAACCCCUUUCUGGGGGGAAGAACUUGACGGUACCUGCUAAAGAAGGUCCGGGAACUACGUGCCAGCAGCCGCGGUAAUACCUCCAGACCAAGCGUUGUCCGGAAUUAUUGGGCGUAAAGAGCUCGUAGGAAUUAUCGGUAAGUCGGGUGUGAAAAUCCAGGGCUUAACCCUGGGACGCCACCCAAUACUGCUGUGACUAGAGUCCGGUGUAAAACCGUGGAAUUUCUGGCGUAGCGAGGAAAUGGGAAUAUCUGGUGUAGAACACCAGCGGCGAAGGCUGCGCUCUGGCCCCUGACUGACACUGAGGAACGUAAGCGUGUUCAGACAACGGGAUUAGAUACCCUGGUAGUCCACGCCGAUUACGUUGGGCACUAGGUAUGGGGUCUUAUCAUGGGAUUCCGUGCCGUAGCUGACGCAUUUGUUGCCCCGUCCUGGCUAGUACGG